RNAcentral lists this small RNA (27 nucleotides) under Bombyx mori (domestic silkworm). RNAcentral's name for it is "ovarian small RNA-38085". Lineage: Eukaryota; Metazoa; Arthropoda; Insecta; Lepidoptera; Bombycidae. The record is from RNAcentral.
UUGUAUAGAACCAGAUGGUCCUUUCGA